Molecule: long non-coding RNA, 861 nt
Filed under: Malus domestica (apple)
Lineage: Eukaryota; Viridiplantae; Streptophyta; Magnoliopsida; Rosales; Rosaceae
Description: long non-coding RNA (MDOM_LNC014329)
Source: RNAcentral
UUUUAAUUUUCGGCCGUUGGAUCGGAUGAAUUGAAGAAGAUCAACGGACAUAAAUUAUCAAGGGGUGUGUGAGAAGUAAAAUAGGGUGUGUGGAUAGCACACCCCAUGAUGAUAUUAACAACAAUAAAUAAAUAGUCAUAUUAAUUCACACUAUUGACUAAUAGAAUUGAUAACUUGUUUAGCAGAGCUCUGAAAGGAAUUAGAGCUCACCCAUACAAACAUUCCUGGAAUGACUUUUCGUCAUGCUUGUCAGACUAAUCUUAAUUUCAAGUUUCAAUCUGAAACCCUAAUUAUGGUUUCUAAACAAUUAUAUAAUCUCGGAUCACACAUAUUUAUGAAUGUGAAUGAAUUUACUAUGUAGAAAGAACAGUGAUGGAAUCAUAAUUUCUUAUAAAAGGGCGUCGUACUAAUAUUAUAAAAAAAAACAGUUGGAGCUCAUACAAUACACCAAACCACUAACUGAAAACAUUUAUAUCCACUACAACCAUGGUUGUCCUCCAUUUUCGUAAAGAUGGAGAGAGAAAUAAAAUCCCCAUUAUCAAAGAUUCAAAGUACACAUCUACAAAUGAAAAAGAGAUUCACAAAAUUUUAGUUAAUCCUCGUUCCUAUUCGCUAGGGGGAAAACACAUCUUAAGAUUUUAUAUAAAUUGUUUGUGUAAAUCACCUAAACUGAAUAAAUAUAUGAUACAAAAUAUUUUUUAGACAAUUCUGUUGGAUAGGAUUUGGACUCUUGUGUUGUUAUCAUGUAUUAGGAUAUUAAUCCUCUCUGUUGUAGGCUUUAUCUCUUAGGACAUUGAUCUCUAAGUUUCCUGAAUUACGAAUUGAAUCAGUUUUUACAAUUUCUUUCCAGAUAUCUGUUGA